GGAGGUGGCCGGGCGGCCGCGGGUGACCUCGGUCACCUGAGGAAGGUCGGGGCUCCAGAGGGCAGGGUGCUCGCGAGAGGCGAGUCGGGGUGACCCGCAGGACAGUGCAACAGAGAGCAGACCGCCGAUGGAUCGACGAUCGAUCACAGGCAAGGGUGAAACGGUGCGGUAAGAGCGCACCAGCGACUUCGGCGACGAGGUCGGCUUGGCAAACCCCACCCGGAGCAAGGCCGCAGUGGAGCAGGGUGGCCCGCCCGUCACGCUCCUGGUAGGCCGCAGAGAUGGAUGGCCGCACAGGCGGCCGUUUGGGCCGCUGGACAGAACCCCGCCUAUAGGCCACCUCCCGCC
Acidimicrobium ferrooxidans DSM 10331 is the source of this 348-nucleotide non-coding RNA. It matches the Rfam family "Bacterial RNase P class A". Rfam says of the family: Ribonuclease P (RNase P) is a ubiquitous endoribonuclease, found in archaea, bacteria and eukarya as well as chloroplasts and mitochondria. The record is from Rfam. NCBI's taxonomy places the organism in Bacteria, Bacillati, Actinomycetota, Acidimicrobiia, Acidimicrobiales, Acidimicrobiaceae.